RNAcentral lists this ribosomal RNA (478 nucleotides) under uncultured bacterium. Its description in RNAcentral is "partial 16S ribosomal RNA". It matches the Rfam family "Bacterial small subunit ribosomal RNA", at positions 28 to 507 of the family's 1533-position model. The record is from RNAcentral.
GAUGAACGCUGGCGGCGUGCUUAACACAUGCAAGUCGAACGAGAAGUGAAGACGGAAACCUUCGGGCGGAAGGCUUUAUUUCGAGUGGCGGACGGGUGAGUAACGCGUGGGUAACCUGCCUCAUACAGGGGGAUAACAGUUGGAAACGACUGUUAAUACCGCAUAAGACCACAGCACCGCAUGGUGCGGGGGUCACAACUCCGGUGGUAUGAGAUGGACCCGCGUUCGAUUAGCCAGAUGGCGGGGUAACGGCCCACCAAAGCGACGAUCGAUAGCCGAUCUGAGAGGAUGACCGGCCACAUUGGGACUGAGACACGGCCCGAACUCCUACGGGAGGCAGCAGUGGGGAAUAUUGCACAAUGGGGGAAACCCAGAUGCAGCGACGCCGCGUGAGUGAAGAAGUAUUUCGGUAAGUAAAGCUCUAUCAGCAGGGAAGAAAAUGACGGUACCUGAGUAAGAAGCCCCGGCUAACUACGUG